GAUGAACGCUGGCGGCGUGCCUAACACAUGCAAGUCGAGCGGCAGCGCGGGGUGCUUGCACCCUGCCGGCGAGCGGCGGACGGCUGAGUAACGCGUGGGAACGUGCCCCAAAGUGAGGAAUAACUGCCCGAAAGGGUAGCUAAUACCGCAUAUUAUCUUCGGAUCAAAGGAUUUAUCCGCUUUGGGAGCGGCUCGCGUCGGAUUAGGUAGUUGGUGUGGUAAUGGCUCACCAAGCCGACGAUCCGUAGCUGGUCUGAGAGGAUGACCAGCCAGACUGGAACUGAGACACGGUCCAGACUCCUACGGGAGGCAGCAGUGAGGAAUCUUCCACAAUGGGCGAAAGCCUGAUGGAGCAACGCCGCGUGCAGGACGAAGGCCUGCGGGUUGUAAACUGCUUUUAUAAGUGAGGAAUAUGACGGUAACUUAUGAAUAAGGAUCGGCUAACUACGUG
RNAcentral lists this ribosomal RNA (451 nucleotides) under uncultured bacterium. RNAcentral's name for it is "partial 16S ribosomal RNA". It matches the Rfam family "Bacterial small subunit ribosomal RNA", at positions 28 to 507 of the family's 1533-position model. The record is from RNAcentral.